Molecule: ribosomal RNA, 433 nt
Filed under: uncultured bacterium
Lineage: Bacteria
Description: partial 16S ribosomal RNA
Rfam family: Bacterial small subunit ribosomal RNA
Source: RNAcentral
AACGAACGCUGGCGGCAUGCCUAACACAUGCAAGUCGAACGAGACCUUCGGGACUAGUGGCGCACGGGUGCGUAACGCGUGGGAACCUGCCCUUAGGUUCGGAAUAACUCCCCGAAAGGGGUGCUAAUACCGGAUCAUGUCUUCGGCCCAAAGAUUUAUCGCCUUUGGAUGGGCCCGCGUUGGAUUAGCUAGUUGGUAGGGUAAAAGCCUACCAAGGCGACGAUCCAUAGCUGGUCUGAGAGGAUGAUCAGCCACACUGGGACUGGGACACGGCCCAGACUCCUACGGGAGGCAGCAGUGGGGAAUAUUGGACAAUGGGCGAAAGACUGAUCCAGCAAUGCCGCGUGAGUGAUGAAGGCCUUAGGGUUGUAAAGCUCUUUUACCCGGGAUUAUAAUGACAGUACCGGGAGAAUAAGCUCCGGCUAACUCCGUG